This 559-nucleotide ribosomal RNA is filed under the name Craugastor charadra. Its description in RNAcentral is "partial 16S ribosomal RNA". It matches the Rfam family "Bacterial large subunit ribosomal RNA", at positions 1831 to 2597 of the family's 2925-position model. The record is from RNAcentral. Lineage: Eukaryota; Metazoa; Chordata; Amphibia; Anura; Craugastoridae.
CGCCUCUUGCUCAACUAUAAGAGGUCCAGCCUGCCCAGUGACCCAUGUUCAACGGCCGAGGUAUCCUGACCCCGCGAAGGUAGCGCAAUCAAUUGUCUCUUAAAUGGAGACUUGUAUGAACGGCAUCACGAGGAUUUAACUGUCUCCCCUCUCUAAUCUGUGAAACUAAUCUCCCUGUGAAAAAGCAGGGCUAUCUUCAUAAGACGAGAAGACCCUGUGGAACUUUAAACAAGUAACAAUUGCCCCACUUUGACCUCAAAAAAUCAAACCCCCGGGCACUCUGAUUACAAGUUUUCGGUUGGGGAGACCGCGGAGAAAAACCUAUCCUCCAUGUUGUGAACCUUAAAUUCAAACCCACAAGCCACGGCUUUACGAAUCAGCAAACUGACAUUCAUUGACCCAAAUAUUUGAUCAACGAACCAAGCUACCCCAGGGAUAACAGCGCAAUCCGCCUUUAGAGCACAUAUCGACAGGCGGGCUUACGACCUCGAUGUUGGAUCAGGGUACCCCAGUGGUGCAGCCGCUACUAAAGGUUCGUUUGUUCAACGAUUAAUACCCU